GACGAACGCUGGCGGCGUGCUUAACACAUGCAAGUCGAACGAUGAAGCCCUUUCGGGGGUGGAUUAGUGGCGAACGGGUGAGUAACACGUGGGUAACCUGCCCUGUACCCUGGGAUAAGCCUUGGAAACGAGGUCUAAUACCGGAUAUGACCUGCUCUCGCAUGGGGGGUGGGUGGAAAGUUUUGGCGGUGCAGGAUGGACCCGCGGCCUAUCAGCUUGUUGGUGGGGUGAUGGCCUACCAAGGCGACGACGGGUAGCCGGCCUGAGAGGGCGACCGGCCACACUGGGACUGAGACACGGCCCAGACUCCUACGGGAGGCAGCAGUGGGGAAUAUUGCACAAUGGGCGAAAGCCUGAUGCAGCGACGCCGCGUGAGGGAUGACGGCCU
Molecule: ribosomal RNA, 388 nt
Filed under: uncultured bacterium
Lineage: Bacteria
Description: bacterial SSU rRNA
Rfam family: Bacterial small subunit ribosomal RNA
Source: RNAcentral